RNAcentral lists this ribosomal RNA (454 nucleotides) under uncultured bacterium. RNAcentral describes it as "bacterial SSU rRNA". It matches the Rfam family "Bacterial small subunit ribosomal RNA", at positions 33 to 507 of the family's 1533-position model. The record is from RNAcentral.
ACGCUGGCGGCGUGCCUAACACAUGCAAGUCGAACGAGGUCCAUCCUUCGGGAGAAGACCUAGUGGCGAACGGGUGAGUAACACGUGAAGAACCUGCCCCGAAGACCGGGAUAACCCUCCGAAAGGAGAGCUAAUACCGGAUACCCCCACCGAACCGCAUGGUUUGGUGAGGAAAUGGAUUCCGCUUCGGGAGGGCUUCGCGGCCUAUCAGCUAGUUGUGGGGUAACGGCCCACCAAGGCAUCGACGGGUAGCUGGUCUGAGAGGACGAUCAGCCACACUGGGACUGAGACACGGCCCAGACUCCUACGGGAGGCAGCAGUGGGAAUCUUGCGCAAUGGGCGAAAGCCUGACGCAGCAACGCCGCGUGGGGAUGAAGGCUCUCGGGUUGUAAACCCCUUUCAGCAGGGACGAAUCAAGACGGUACCUGCAGAAGAAGCCCCGGCUAACUACGUG